Long non-coding RNA from Megalobrama amblycephala (Wuchang bream), 3383 nucleotides. RefSeq lists it as uncharacterized. The record is from RefSeq and is a predicted model, not a curated record. NCBI's taxonomy places the organism in Eukaryota, Metazoa, Chordata, Actinopteri, Cypriniformes, Xenocyprididae. The transcript is spliced from 4 exons.
CUUUCUAAGUGGGAAGAAUGUGUAAAGGGAAGGGAGUGGGGGAGAAGGAGCAAAUGUGAAGGAAGGACAGGAUGGAAAGAAGCUUUACAACAACUUCACUCUGUGGGGUGUGGAGACAAAUGGCUGUAUGUCUUUGUGCUGUCCAUAUCUCAGGAGUAUCUGAGGAUCUGUUGAUCUUACAGUUUCUGUGCAUUUGCUGCAGAGCUUUUGUGGUGGAGCAGGACCUGCAAGGCAAGCUGAAAAAAAUGGAAAAGUAAGAUCAUUUUGUUACUUCUAAAACAGAAAUCAGAUGACAUUGUGCUGUUAAAAUGACUGGUUUUGUAUGAUGAUUGUGUAUUAUUGUAGGAUGUGAAUGUCCUCAGACUGGUGUGAGCACUGAGGAUGGAGAGCCACAGCAGAUCCUGGGAAUGGUUCAGUGUCAUGGACAAGAUUCUCCAUCACUCCUCCUGCCCUUACUGCCUCAUCUGGACUGAUGUUGAUGUGAUUUCUUCAUCCUCAGGAUGAUCCCGCUGGAGUAACCUGGAGUAAAGUGUCUGGAUCAAGGACACACUGGAGGAGACGCUGCAGAGAUCGAACCAGCAACCUUCUGCUGACCAGCUCAGUGGUUUAGACCACUAAACCACAACAGUAAUGAAGCUACAACAGAAAUUAGCAAGUAAUUGUAAAAAUAUGAAAUGAAGUAUGGCAAGAAACUGAAUGCUGACAUGAAUGAAGUGUAAAAUGUUUUAAUCUGCUGAAGGAGAGCACAUGAAUGUUUGCAGCAGCAGAUUGUCCCGCACAUCUUCUCGCACUCCUGCUUCAAGGUUGUGGGGUUCAGCGGUCCAUCAUCAUCAUGGUCUUCCUCAUCCUCUGGAUCAAUGAUGUCCCCAUUGAGAAGAGCAGCAGUGAGUGACAUGAUGAUGAAGGUGUUCAUCAGCUGCUUCAUCAGAAUAAAGCUGCAGAAUGGGCAAAGCAAUUCAUUCUGGGGUAAGUUUAAUUUUUUAGUAGUUUAUACUUCUCCAAAGGUGAGAUCUUUGAGCAGCUGCUGAUGUCUUCUUUGGCUUCAGACAUUGCUAACACUGAGGAAAACCGCUCUAGGUAGGGUUGUGGAGUCACUGGUGCUGUAAAACAAUCUGCCAAUGGGGUAAGCAAAAUAAUCUUAAUUCAAACCAAAAAUAAGAUCUAUAUAAUCUUGUUUUCAGUUUGGUUUAAGAUUGUUUUGCUUGUUCACUCAAUUUUGACUUAUUUUUCCUGAAAACAAGAACUUGUCAAGAAAAUGCUUCUUGAUUUAAGAAUGCUGUGCUGUGAUUGGCUGUAUUUACAUGUAAAAUGAGCGCUCUGAGAAAAGAUGAGAUGCAACACAGCGUUUUUAUUUUUUCCUCUCUGCCAUCACUGGUUAAAGCAACAUGACUAAUGUUAAUGUAGAUCUAAGGUACUUGCCUUUUACUGUCAACUCUUUCAUUAAAACAACUUUAUGACUAUUUAAAUCCUUGAACUUUAAUGAUUGUUGGCAGUUUAAUGUAACUGUAGCAGUGAAGAUUUAAUACAUUUACGUAAAAUUUGUUGUUUUUGUACUGCAUGUGAAAUUUUCUGACUCGAUUUUACAAAAAAAAAACAUCUGACACAAACCAUGUGAUUAAAACACAUUUGUGCGUAAAAGACCUAAAUCUUUCUGUGUCGAGAGGAGUAACACUCUGAGUUAAAAGUAACACAAAAUGUGUCAUCCUUAUCUAGACACACAGAUGUGUUGAGAAAUAAAAAGGUUGUGGUUUUCAACACUUCAGUGUUAAGAGUCAAAAAACACCCAGAUCAACUAACCCUAACCUCCGCAAAACUGUGUGUCGACAUGACGAGAAUCAGCGCAGAGUGUAUUUGAGCGAGUGUUUCGAGAACAGGAUUAAGACUACUUUAGUCGAAAAUACAACGGCUUUCUUCUUCCAUGAGAGAGUUUUCCAGGCGGACCAUCAAAGAAUGCAACACACGUCUCCUGGACUUCCUGUAGAAUUCAACCAAUCAGACGUCAAGUGUUUCCAGUGAAGUGUGUCAUAUGCAUCAGAAGUUCAGCCAGCGGUCUCUGGACGUGAUGUCUGAAGCUGAGACUACAUCUCAACCCGCGUACAAACCCACGUUCCUGGAAUCACUAAACCAGAACCGCCUGCUAUCAUCACGUCAUCAGUACAUCUUCAUAAACGCGUCUCAUUUCUCCAGUUCUUUCAGGUUCAGCGUUGACUGUGAGAGCUUCACUGACUGCGUUUACUGGCACUGUCCGAGCGCCAUCAGAACAACAUCAUGCUUGAUCACAUGGAUCCCAUCAUCAUUGGCGUAGUAACAGGAGGGGUUUUGAUCAUUGUUGUCACCCUUGCCAUCACCUUCUGCUGUGUCUGUAAAAAUAAAUCACUUCCGACACCUCCAAUACCUCCGAUACCAGUGUAACCCUCCCUUUCAUACAGCAGUAGACUACGCCUUAUUGGAUGAAAUGAAUGAAUUAUUUAUUUUUGUGUAUCUUAUUUUACAGAUUGUAAUGGGUUUGGUAAUAAUGCACUUGGGUUGUUUGUAAAUGUGCUUUAUAAAAAACCAAUGAGUAAAUGAAUGAUUUUACAAGACCAGCAGAUGUGUUUUAGCCCGUUAUUUUGUCUUUCAUUUUUAAUUUGUUCUUUCAAGUUGGUUUUUGUUGAGUGACAGUUUUACUUAAUUUAGUGUUUUGUUGUUGUUUCUUCCAUUAUAUUUAGUUUCAUUGUUUUAGAGUGUUUUCCCAGAUCAAGAAUUUUCAUAACCCUCAGAUUCAAAUCUUGUUUUUGUCUACUGAUUUUUCUUUCUUUGGAAAGACGUUUCAUCAGCUGAACAAUCAGUAUGUUGGUUUGUUGUUCCUCUUGUUAUCUUCCCUGUGAAUAUACAGCCUAGUGUUUCAGUCAGUCCUUGUCAGAUGUAAACUGCUGUGUUUGGACGCUCACCUCUCCUCUUCCCUGACACUACGCAACAGUAAUAAACCACAGAAGUAAUGAAACUGUCAGCUUUAUUGGUCUUCACAUCUUCUCCCACUCCUACUUCAAGGUUGUGGGGUUCAGGGGUCCAUCAUCAUCAUCUUCCUCAUCCUCUGGAUCAACGAUGUCUUCAUUGAGAAGAGCAGCAGUGAGGGGUGAAGGUGUUCAUCAGCUGCAGAACUGGCACAGCUGUGUGAGACGGCAGCAGGACUGUAAAUACCUGAUUGUUAGAUCAAUACAUUUGAAUAAAGCAGACUAACACUGAGGAAAACCGCUCUAGGGUUGUGGAGUCACUGGUGCUGUGAGGUGUUAGUGCACCUGUCGCUCAUACCUUUAUUAUUGCAAGACUUAUAAUUACAGUUGUAAGAAAAAGUAUGUGAACCACUUGCAGAAUCUGUGAAAAUGUGAAAAAUUUUAACAAAA